GCUAAUACCGGAUGUGACCGCUGACCGCAUGGUCUGGUGGUGGAAAGAUUCAUCGGCUGAGGAUGGGCCCGCGGCCUAUCAGCUUGUUGGUGGGGUAGUGGCCCACCAAGGCGACGACGGGUAGCCGGCCUGAGAGGGUGACCGGCCACACUGGGACUGAGACACGGCCCAGACUCCUACGGGAGGCAGCAGUGGGGAAUAUUGCGCAAUGGGCGGAAGCCUGACGCAGCGACGCCGCGUGAGGGAUGACGGCCUUCGGGUUGUAAACCUCUUUCAGUAGGGACGAAGCGAAAGUGACGGUACCUACAGAAGAAGCACCGGCCAACUACGUGCCAGCAGCCGCGGUAAUACGUAGGGUGCAAGCGUUGUCCGGAAUUAUUGGGCGUAAAGAGCUCGUAGGCGGUCUGUCGCGUCGGCUGUGAAAACCCGAGGCUCAACCUCGGGCCUGCAGUCGAUACGGGCAAACUAGAGUACUGCAGGGGAGACUGGAAUUCCUGGUGUAGCGGUGAAAUGCGCAGAUAUCAGGAGGAACACCGGUGGCGAAGGCGGGUCUCUGGGCAGUAACUGACGCUGAGGAGCGAAAGCGUGGGGAGCGAACAGGAUUAGAUACCCUGGUAGUCCACGCCGUAAACGUUGGGCGCUAGGUGUGGGGGCCAUUCCACGGUCUCCGUGCCGCAGCUAACGCAUUAAGCGCCCCGCCUGGGGAGUAC
RNAcentral lists this ribosomal RNA (710 nucleotides) under Modestobacter sp. Br30. Its description in RNAcentral is "bacterial SSU rRNA". It matches the Rfam family "Bacterial small subunit ribosomal RNA", at positions 162 to 883 of the family's 1533-position model. Lineage: Bacteria; Bacillati; Actinomycetota; Actinomycetes; Geodermatophilales; Geodermatophilaceae. The record is from RNAcentral.